This 369-nucleotide ribosomal RNA is filed under the name Triticum aestivum (bread wheat). Its description in RNAcentral is "partial small subunit ribosomal RNA". The record is from RNAcentral. Lineage: Eukaryota; Viridiplantae; Streptophyta; Magnoliopsida; Poales; Poaceae.
AUGGGAAGGGCAAUGGGGGCGGCGCUCGUGCUGGCGGUCCUGGCCGUCGCGGCGGCCACGGCCGGGGCUGUUGACGGAGAUGUCAAGUGCGCUGAGUGCGGCACGGGCACGGUGCCGGUGCUGCCGCCGCCGCCGCCGUACUACUACUACAGCCCUCCACCUCCGGCGUCCUACUCCGGUGUGUCCAACUGCCCGCCACCACCAGGGGGAUACAUCCAGAUCGGCGGCUCGGGGCCGGGAAAAGGGCGCAUGUACCCGCAGGACCCCGGGUUCAUGCCGUCCAGCGCGCCGCCCAGGCAUGGGAGCAGCGCCGUCCACAUCACGGUAUGUUCGUUUGCGGCGUUGGCGGUUCUACGGGCCUUUUGGUGA